RNAcentral lists this non-coding RNA (45 nucleotides) under Schistosoma bovis. RNAcentral also lists the same sequence under 1 other name. The record is from RNAcentral. Lineage: Eukaryota; Metazoa; Platyhelminthes; Trematoda; Strigeidida; Schistosomatidae.
AUCCAUCUGACGAGUCCCAAAUAGAACGAAACAGGUGUCCUGGAU